RNAcentral lists this long non-coding RNA (245 nucleotides) under Rattus norvegicus (Norway rat). RNAcentral describes it as "long non-coding RNA NONRATT032880". The record is from RNAcentral. Lineage: Eukaryota; Metazoa; Chordata; Mammalia; Rodentia; Muridae.
CUGCGGAAAGACCAGAGAUAACUUUUCCUACUUCAGUGAUUUAAUUUUGAGCUUUUAGGUGGUCUGAAGCUGAGACACAGGUACAUCCGGGAAGCCGCAUCAGCCAACGAGUAGAGCUAACAGGGACCACACCACUGCGCUCGUCUUUGGGAAGCUGACAAUACAGAAGUCUGUAUGAUUUCAUGCUUUUAUCAUCACAUAAUUCUGUGAUGCCCAGGACUGGUAUGUUCGUGCUCUAGGAACUC